AUUGAACGCUGGCGGCAGGCUUAACACAUGCAAGUCGAGCGGGGUGAUGGUGCUUGCACUAUCACUUAGCGGCGGACGGGUGAGUAAUGCUUAGGAAUCUGCCUAUUAGUGGGGGACAACAUCUCGAAAGGGAUGCUAAUACCGCAUACGUCCUACGGGAGAAAGCAGGGGAUCACUUGUGACCUUGCGCUAAUAGAUGAGCCUAAGUCGGAUUAGCCAGUUGGUGGGGUAAAGGCCUACCAAGGCGACGAUCUGUAGCGGGUCUGAGAGGAUGAUCCGCCACACUGGGACUGAGACCCGGCCCAGACUCCUACGGGAGGCAGCAGUGGGGAAGAUUGGACAAUGGGGGGAACCCUGAUCCAGCCAUGCCGCGUGUGUGAAGAAGGCCUUAUGGUUGUAAAGCACUUUAAGCGAGGAGGAGGCUCUUUUGGUUAAUACCCAAGAUGAGUGGACGUUACUCGCAGAAUAAGCACCGGCUAACUCUGUGCCAGCAGCCGCCGUAA
This 503-nucleotide ribosomal RNA is filed under the name uncultured bacterium. RNAcentral describes it as "partial 16S ribosomal RNA". It matches the Rfam family "Bacterial small subunit ribosomal RNA", at positions 30 to 523 of the family's 1533-position model. The record is from RNAcentral.